RNAcentral lists this long non-coding RNA (552 nucleotides) under Homo sapiens (human). RNAcentral describes it as "non-protein coding lnc-COLEC12-4:2". The record is from RNAcentral. Lineage: Eukaryota; Metazoa; Chordata; Mammalia; Primates; Hominidae.
AUGUCUCCGACGCCGCCGCUCUUCAGUUUGCCCGAAGCGCGGACGCGGUUUACGAAGUCUACCAGAGAGGCCUUGAACAACAAAAACAUCAAGCCAUUGUUAAGUACCUUCAGCCAGGUACCUGGCAGUGAAAAUGAAAAAAAAUGUACCCUUGACCAAGCUUUCAGAGGUAUUCUAGAAGAAGAAAUUGUAAGUAUGUUUUUCCAUUGUUAAAAUUUUACUGACAAAUUAAUAAACCAUGUUAUUUAAAAAUUGCUUUUUUUCUUAGAAUGGAUAUUUAAACAUCUUUUUUUAGAGUAACCUUUCUGCUUUGUAAAAGUUGACUUGAUGACUAUACGAUUUCUCUAAGGAUUUUGAUAGCACAGGUACAUUUUAAGGGUUUGGUUUAAUAAAUGACAAGAGCCCUCUCCAAGUGAGAUAAGAAAAGUUGACAUGAGGUCUUAGGAAGAACUAGAGGUGAAGGUGGGCUCUCUCACUUUCCUGUAUAAGCAGUGAUACAUCCUGUAGUGGCGCAAAAGGUCUAGUCCAAGAAUAUUUAGCUUAGGAGCUGGG